CGAUCCUAGCUUGCUAGGAGGCGUCGAGCGGCGGCACAGAGGUGAGUAAUGCAUAGGAAUCUGCCCGGUAGUGGGGGAUAACCUGGGGAAACCCAGGCUAAUACCGCAUACGCCCUACGGGGGAAAGCAGGGGAUCUUCGGACCUUGCGCUAUCGGAUGAGCCUAUGUCGGAUUAGCUAGUUGGUGAGGUAACGGCUCACCAAGGCUGCGAUCCGUAGCUGGUCUGAGAGGAUGAUCAGCCACAUCGGGACUGAGACACGGCCCGAACUCCUACGGGAGGCAGCAGUGGGGAAUAUUGGACAAUGGGCGAAAGCCUGAUCCAGCCAUGCCGCGUGUGUGAAGAAGGCCUUCGGGUUGUAAAGCACUUUCAGUGAGGAAGAAAGCCUUGAGGUUAAUACCCUCGAGGGAGGACAUCACUCACAGAAGAAGCACCGGCUAACUCCGUGCCAGCAGCCGCGGUAAUACGGAGGGUGCGAGCGUUAAUCGGAAUUACUGGGCGUAAAGCGCGCGUAGGCGGCUUGAUAAGCCGGUUGUGAAAGCCCCGGGCUCAACCUGGGAACGGCAUCCGGAACUGUCAGGCUAGAGUGCAGGAGAGGAAGGUAGAAUUCCCGGUGUAGCGGUGAAAUGCGUAGAGAUCGGGAGGAAUACCAGUGGCGAAGGCGGCCUUCUGGACUGACACUGACGCUGAGGUGCGAAAGCGUGGGUAGCAAACAGGAUUAGAUACCCUGGUAGUCCACGCCGUAAACGAUGUCGACUAGCCGUUGGGCUCCUUGAGAGCUUUGUGGCGCAGUUAACGCGAUAAGUCGACCGCCUGGGGAGUACGGCCGCAAGGUUAAAACUCAAAUGAAUUGACGGGGGCCCGCACAAGCGGUGGAGCAUGUGGUUUAAUUCGAUGCAACGCGAAGAACCUUACCUACCCUUGACAUCGAGAGAACUUUCCAGAGAUGGAUUGGUGCCUUCGGGAACUCUCAGACAGGUGCUGCAUGGCUGUCGUCAGCUCGUGUUGUGAAAUGUUGGGUUAAGUCCCGUAACGAGCGCAACCCUUGUCCCUAUUUGCCAGCGAUUCGGUCGGGAACUCUAGGGAGACUGCCCGGUGACAAACCGGGAGGAAGGUGGGGACGACGUCAAGUCAUC
This 1134-nucleotide ribosomal RNA is filed under the name Halomonas sp. AK3. RNAcentral's name for it is "bacterial SSU rRNA". It matches the Rfam family "Bacterial small subunit ribosomal RNA", at positions 70 to 1194 of the family's 1533-position model. Lineage: Bacteria; Pseudomonadati; Pseudomonadota; Gammaproteobacteria; Oceanospirillales; Halomonadaceae. The record is from RNAcentral.